GAUGAACGCUGGCGGCGUGCCUAAUACAUGCAAGUCGAGCGAACGGACGAGAAGCUUGCUUUUCUGAUGUUAGCGGCGGACGUGUGAGUAACACGUGUAUAACCUACCUAUAUGACUGGGAUAACUUCGGGACACCGGAGCUAAUACCGGAUAAUAUUUUGAACCGCAUGGUUCAAAAGUGAAAUACGGUCUUGCUGUCACUUAUCGAUGGAUCCGCGCUGCAUUAGCUAGUUGGUAAGGUAACAGCUUACCAAGGCAACGAUGCAUAGCCGACCUGUGGGGGGGUUCGGCGACAGAGGAACUGAGACACGGUACAGGCUCCUACGGGAGGCAGCAGCAGGGAAUCGUGCGCGCAGGGGGGAAGCCUGCAGGAGCAACGGAGGGUGGGUGAUGAAGGGCCUCGGAUGGUAAAACGCUGUUAUGAGGGUAGAACACAUUUGUAAGUAACGGAGCACAUCUUGAGGGUAUCUGUUGAGAAGGACACGGUUAACUCCGU
This 496-nucleotide ribosomal RNA is filed under the name uncultured bacterium. RNAcentral's name for it is "partial 16S ribosomal RNA". It matches the Rfam family "Bacterial small subunit ribosomal RNA", at positions 28 to 506 of the family's 1533-position model. The record is from RNAcentral.